CCUACGGGUGGCUGCAGUGGGGAAUAUUGGGCAAUGGACGAAACUCUGACCCAGCAAUGCCGCGUGAAGGAAGAAGGCUUUCGGGUUGUAAAGUUCUUUUGUCAGGGACGAAGCCAGUGACGGUACCUGAAGAAUAAGCCCCGGCUAACUACGUGCCAGCAGCCGCGGUAAUACGUAGGUGGCAAGCGUUAUUCGGAUUUACUGGGCGUAAAGGGCGGGUAGGCGGGGAAGCAAGUCGGAUGUGAAAACCCCGGGCUUAAACUGGGGGCUGCAUUUGAAACUGUUUGUAUUGAGUGCAGGAGAGGCAAGUGGAAGUCCGGGUGUAGCGGUGGAAUGCGUAGAUAUACGGAGGAACACCAGUGGCGAAGGCGGAUAGCUGGACAGUAACUGACGCUGAGGCGCGAAAGCGUGGGGAGCAAACAGGAUUAGAUACCCUGGUAGUC
This 443-nucleotide ribosomal RNA is filed under the name uncultured bacterium. RNAcentral describes it as "partial 16S ribosomal RNA". It matches the Rfam family "Bacterial small subunit ribosomal RNA", at positions 338 to 795 of the family's 1533-position model. The record is from RNAcentral.